RNAcentral lists this ribosomal RNA (235 nucleotides) under uncultured bacterium. Its description in RNAcentral is "partial 16S ribosomal RNA". It matches the Rfam family "Bacterial small subunit ribosomal RNA", at positions 99 to 334 of the family's 1533-position model. The record is from RNAcentral.
CGGACGGGUGAGUAACGCGUGGGUAACCUGCCUUGUACUGGGGGACAACAGUUAGAAAUGACUGCUAAUACCGCAUAAGCGCACAGUAUCGCAUGAUACAGUGUGAAAAACUCCGGUGGUACAAGAUGGACCCGCGUCUGAUUAGCUAGUUGGUAAGGUAACGGCUUACCAAGGCGACGAUCAGUAGCCGACCUGAGAGGGUGACCGGCCACAUUGGGACUGAGACACGGACCAA